GGGCCUACGGAGGCAGCAGUGGGGAUAUUGUACAUGGGCGCAAGCCUGAUGCAGCAACGCCGCGUCAUGGAUGAAGGCCUUCGGGUUGUAAACCUCUUUUAGGGGAAGAAGCGAAAGUGACGGUACCUGCAGAAAAAGCACCGGCUAACUACGUGCCAGCAGCCGCGGUAAU
Molecule: ribosomal RNA, 172 nt
Filed under: uncultured Microbacteriaceae bacterium
Lineage: Bacteria; Bacillati; Actinomycetota; Actinomycetes; Micrococcales; Microbacteriaceae
Description: partial 16S ribosomal RNA
Rfam family: Bacterial small subunit ribosomal RNA
Source: RNAcentral